Molecule: unclassified non-coding RNA, 379 nt
Filed under: uncultured Actinomycetes bacterium
Lineage: Bacteria; Bacillati; Actinomycetota; Actinomycetes
Description: uncultured actinobacterium contains 16S-23S intergenic spacer region
Source: RNAcentral
UCCGAGUUGACCCCGGCAGUCUCCCAUGAGUCCCCACCAUCACGUGCUGGCAACAUGGAACAAGGGUUGCGCUCGUUGCGGGACUUAACCCAACAUCUCACGACACGAGCUGACGACAGCCAUGCACCACCUGUCACCGAUCCCAAAAGGACCCCGCAUCUCUGCAGGAUUACCGGUGAUGUCAAACCUUGGUAAGGUUCUUCGGGUUGCAUCGAAUUAAGCCGCAUGCUCCGCCGCUUGUGCGGGGACCCGUCAAUUCCUUUGAGUUUUAGCCUUGCGGCCGUACUCCCCAGGCGGGAUACUUAAUGCGUUAGCUUCGGCACGGCAGUCGUUGGUACAACCGCCACACCUAGUAUCCAACGUUUACAGCGUGGACUAC